ACUCAAAUGAAUUGACGGGGACCCGCACAAGCGGUGGAUGAUGUGGAUUAAUUCGAUGCAACGCGAAAAACCUUACCUACCCUUGACAUGUCAAGAAUUCUGCAGAGAAGUGGAAGUACUCGCAAGAGAACUUGAGCACAGGUGCUGCAUGGCUGUCGUCAGCUCGUGUCGUGAGAUAUUGGGUUAAGUCCCGCAACGAGCGCAACCCUUAUCAUUAGUUGCUACGGAAGAGCACUCUAAUGAGACUGCCGGUGACAAGCCGGAGGAAGGCGGGGAUGACGUCAAGUCCUCAUGGCCCUUAUGGGUAGGGCUUCACACGUCAUACAAUGGUACAUACAGAGGGUUGCGAAGCUGUGAAGCGGAGCCAAUCUCAGAAAAUGUAUCGUAGUCCGGAUUGCAGUCUGCAACUCGACUGCAUGAAGUUGGAAUCGCUAGUAAUCGCAGAUCAGCAUGCUGCGGUGAAUACGUUCCCGGGUCUUGCACACACCGCCCGU
This 494-nucleotide ribosomal RNA is filed under the name uncultured bacterium. RNAcentral describes it as "partial 16S ribosomal RNA". It matches the Rfam family "Bacterial small subunit ribosomal RNA", at positions 899 to 1397 of the family's 1533-position model. The record is from RNAcentral.